Molecule: long non-coding RNA, 601 nt
Organism: Pseudoliparis swirei
Lineage: Eukaryota; Metazoa; Chordata; Actinopteri; Perciformes; Liparidae
Exons: 3
Source: RefSeq, a predicted model, not a curated record
UUGAACAUUUAUAUUUGUUAUUAAAAAUAACAUUCAAGACAGUAACAGUUGUACGACCAAUAAUUAUCAUUACACGUGAGAACUGGAGGUCUUCAAAUCCUCUAUCUUUAAAUAAGUUAAGAGGUCAAGUUUGUCCCCUAAAUCCUCUACAAGCAUUAGUACGACACAGCGUUAAGACUUUACCGUCACCGUGGUUACCCAGCAGGCUCGAGUACAGGCAUGGUCAGGGUCACAUGGUCAGGGUCACAUGGGUCACAUGUUCAGGGUCACAUGGUCAGGGUCACAUGGGUCACAUGUUCAGGGUCACAUGGGUCACAUGGUCAGGGUCACAUGGUCAGGGUCACAUGGGUCACAUGGUCAGCGUCACAUGGUCAGGGUCACAUGGGUCACAUGGUCAGGGUCACAUGGUCAGGGUCACAUGGGUCACAUGGUCAGCGUCAGAUGGUCAGGGUCACAUGGGUCACAUGGUCAGGGUCACAUGGUCAGCGUCACAUGGUCAGGGUCACAUGGGUCACAUGGUCAGGGUCACAUGGUCAGGGUCACAUGGUCAGCGUCACAUGGUCAGGGUCACAUGGGUCACAUGGUCAGGGUCACAUGGUCA